GGGGAAACGAGAACAUCCCUACCCUUCUGUGACCUACCUAUCGUUGCUUCGGCGGACUCGCCCCAGCCCGGACGCGGACUGGACCAGCGGCCCGCCGGGGACCUCAAACUCUUGUAUUCCAGCAUCUUCUGAAUACGCCGCAAGGCAAAACAAAUGAAUCAAAACUUUCAACAACGGAUCUCUUGGCUCUGGCAUCGAUGAAGAACGCAGCGAAACGCGAUAAGUAAUGUGAAUUGCAGAAUCCAGUGAAUCAUCGAAUCUUUGAACGCACAUUGCGCCCGCCAGCAUUCUGGCGGGCAUGCCUGUUCGAGCGUCAUUUCAACCCUCGACCUCCCCUUGGGGGGGUCGGCGUUGGGGACCGGCAGCACACCGCCGGCCCUGAAAUGGAGUGGCGGCCCGUCCGCGGCGACCUCUGCGCAGUAAUACAGCUCGCACCGGAACCCCGACGCGGCCACGCCGUAAAACACCCAACUUCUGAACGUUGACCUCGAAUCAGGUAGGACUACCCGCUGAACUUAAGCAUAUCAAUAAGCGGAGGA
Molecule: ribosomal RNA, 539 nt
Filed under: Beauveria bassiana
Lineage: Eukaryota; Fungi; Ascomycota; Sordariomycetes; Hypocreales; Cordycipitaceae
Description: eukaryotic LSU rRNA
Rfam family: 5.8S ribosomal RNA (bases 163-316)
Source: RNAcentral